UAAGUAUCUUUAAAAAAACAUCAAUCGACUCUUAUCUGUCACUAGUUCCAGUUUCAGAGUAUAAAAUCCGGGUACACAUGCAGCCACGGCUAGCUGGGUAGCCAGACAGUUCGAAUACGGACAAGUUAUUGUGAAUAAAAAAUCUUAUCGUCUUGCAAAAGUUAAUGUCAUAAAUGUAUAGGUUUCGAAUACAUGAAUAUAAAGUGAAAAUGCUGGUAAAAGUAUUAGUUUUUAUCAUUAACCAUUUUAUAUCCCAACAAAACUGUUACCCUUACAAAAAUAAAAUGCUUUCAUUACCUAAUGUAGGUUACGUUAGGUAAUAAAUAAAUAAAUAUGUAGGGACAAUCUUACACAGAUUGGCCCCAAACUAAUCAAAGCUUGUACUAUGGGUACUAGGCGACGUUAAACAUACUUAUUUAGAUAAAUAUAUAUUUACGUAUAUACAUAGAAAACACGCAAGCCUUAGGAACAAAUACGCGAUUCAAACUCGGGACCAUCGGCUUCAUAGGCAGGGUCACUACCCACUAGGCCAAACCGGUCGGCAAAAGGUAAAGAUAAUUAGGUAAAGACAAUGAAUAAUUAAACUUAUUAUAAAUUGACACCAAUAUCCAUCAAAUAGUAUAACUAGGUAUGCUAAGAGCGGGCUUCAGGCCAUUACGUCGCACCUUUAGAAUUAAAUUAAUUUGACUCAAAAAGUACGACUACUUUAUAUAUGUAGUUUGGUAGAACAGUAAGAACUCACUAUAUGUGUCUCUUUUUCAUGCGGUGAAAUCCCCCCCACCCGGAAAGGAUAGCGACGCCCAUUUUAUCGACUCUCGAGUCGACUCCAAUCUGAUACUAAUAAAACCAUACGGAAAUAAUGAGGAUGCAUCGACAUAAGAAGAAUCGAACAUGGGCAAGAUAAAGUUCAAGAAAAAAGCAAAUAUAAUGUGUACUUGUGUGUAGUCAAAGAAAGUUGAAAAAUAAAGCAUAAUUAAUGGCCAUAGAAUACAGAACCGAUACACGAACAUUAAGACUAUUAAAAAUAGACAUAUAGGUUGAUCGUACUACUCGUACUAAUGUAUAUCUUUUGUUCAAUUAUAUUAUUGCAUUAAAGUUAGAUUCUCUAGAUAUAUAUUAUUCAUAGGUUCUGUAUUCUAUACGAAUUGUUUCAGUGUAAUUAUUGUACUAAAUACCGUUGACCGCCUGUCAACAGUAUUUAUUUCUACAUUACUAUCACAGAAGAUUUUAGGCCCUACCGUACAGUUUUUGAAUUAGUAUUUACUAUGGACAAAUAUAGCGAAAUGUGAGUUUUUACCUAAAA
Molecule: long non-coding RNA, 1303 nt
Organism: Cydia pomonella (codling moth)
Lineage: Eukaryota; Metazoa; Arthropoda; Insecta; Lepidoptera; Tortricidae
Exons: 2
Source: RefSeq, a predicted model, not a curated record